RNAcentral lists this unclassified non-coding RNA (432 nucleotides) under soil metagenome. RNAcentral's name for it is "partial contains 5.8S ribosomal RNA, internal transcribed spacer 2, and large subunit ribosomal RNA". The stretch from base 1 to 120 matches the Rfam family "5.8S ribosomal RNA", at positions 35 to 154 of the family's 154-position model. The record is from RNAcentral.
GAUGAAGAACGCAGCGAAAUGCGAUACGUAAUGUGAAUUGCAGAAUUCAGUGAAUCAUCGAAUCUUUGAACGCAUAUUGCGCUCUCUGGUAUUCCGGAGAGCAUGCUUGUUUGAGUAUCAGUAAACACCUCAACUUCCAUAUCUUUUUUGAAAUGGGAGUUGGACUUGAGUGAUCCCAACGCUUUUCCUCACCGAAAAGUGGCGGGUUACUUGAAAUGCAGGUGCAGCUGGACUUUUCUCUGAGCUAUAAGCAUAUCUAUUUAGUCUGCCUAAAAAACAGAUUAUUACCUUUGCUGCAGCUAACAUAAAGAAGAUUAGUUCUUGUGCUGACUGAUGCAGGAUUCACAAAGACGGCUUCGGCCGACUUUGUAAACUCGAUCUCAAAUCAAGUAAGACUACCCGCUGAACUUAAGCAUAUCAAUAAGCGGAGGA